UCUGUGUGUGUGUGUGAGUGAGUGAGUGACUGAAAUCUGGUUGAUGUGCAUUAGAUUUUCAUUGCGUCUGAAGAGAAACGGCUUCUGUCAGAUCUCUGUGCUGUUUCGAUUCCCCCUCACGUCAGCGUGACACGCGGCUCUGAGUCAUGCAGGCUGGGACGGCUCCGCAGUUCUGCAGCAUCACUGCAGACUCUCUCACGCACCGACGCUGUCUCAACAGUCCACGGUCACUCUGCUAAUGCAUUUCACGCGAGGCCGAUACCAAGCUGAGCUCCAUCUGCACCGCACUGCUACUCAUAUCAAAGAGGGAGCGAGUGACAGAAGGGAUGAGAGAAGCCGACUAAAAUGUGUGAAAGAAAUGUGCGGCGGACUCUAGGCUGCAUCCCUUCAGCAACAUAUGGGCUCCUAAUGAACAAUCUUCCAGCCAACAAUGUGGAAUGAGUUGAGCGACGUCAAGAGCUGCACGUGGAGACAGCAGGACCACCAAAUGAGUCAGCGGGCCACCAGACUCCCGUUUCAGUCGUGGGUUGCUUUUCAAAGAGGAGAUGUCACUACAGGUGAACACAGGAGGUGACCUAAACCACCUGUCCACUGCUUUGUAUCCUAGAGGCCACCUGUUUCCACAGCAACUAAGUGUUGAUGGGUCACGUAAAGCACUGUCGCAUUAACGAAAUUUUGUGGGCAAAAAAACUCAACUGCCUAUUUCAAACAAGCAGCUUUCUUUUUGAAUCGUGCACACGAUUUAUAAACCGAGAGAGCGAAUUAGUAAAUUGUGUGCACAAUUUAGCAAAUCGAGGGAACGAAAUAGUAAUCGUGUGCACAUUUUAGUACAUCGAGGGAAUGAAUUAGUAAAUUGUGCGCACAAUUUAUUUCUUUUUUCUUGCAUGUCAUGUGCGGGGCUCUGUAGUAUUGUGAUCGACUGUUGACAUUAUAUCAGUUGUGUGUUUCUCUCUUCAAAGUUUUCAGUGUCAGAGUGUUUUGUAAUGCAUGGUAUUUUAGGACUUUUGACCCUCUUUGAAUCUCUCAGUGCAGAGGCAUGAAUAAAACAUCUCACAUGUU
This is a long non-coding RNA of Cyprinus carpio (common carp), 1059 nucleotides long. RefSeq lists it as uncharacterized. The transcript has 3 exons. The record is from RefSeq and is a predicted model, not a curated record. NCBI's taxonomy places the organism in Eukaryota, Metazoa, Chordata, Actinopteri, Cypriniformes, Cyprinidae.